Molecule: long non-coding RNA, 679 nt
Organism: Girardinichthys multiradiatus
Lineage: Eukaryota; Metazoa; Chordata; Actinopteri; Cyprinodontiformes; Goodeidae
Exons: 3
Source: RefSeq, a predicted model, not a curated record
ACAGGGAAGUAACAGGCAAAGUCUCGGAAGUGGUAAAUGAACAGAAACAGAAGAAUACAGCAAAGAACAAUGACCAACAGAGAGCUUAUAUGCUGAGGGAGGGGUAGAGAAUGGCAUGGGAUGCCGCAGUGUUAAUCAGUAGCUGAGGGAAGGAGACUAAUUAACAUGAAUGGAGGUGAACAGAGAUACAAAGAAACUAAACACAAAACCAUGGCAACAUCCCACUUCGGAGAACUCUGGAACAGGAACAGGAAGCAUGGAAACAAAAGCAGGAGGCAGGUCAUCCUCAAUCCCCUCAGAGAACUCUGAAUCUGUCAAGGUCUGGGAAACUUGUUGCCACUACUUACUGUGAUUAGUCACCAGAUGGCGCGGGAGCUCCUUGUGGAGGUGUGCAGCAGGUGUCGCUUGUCAUCAAUCAAGUCCUGAGGUUUAAAAGCUUAUUUCCUGGCUCCAGUUCCUGUGUUGCUUCUCUGGCAAGAUCCAAGUAUCUUUGAUUCCAAGCUCUCUCGUUUUACCAAGCUUCCGCUGGCUGUCUCCAAGCUCCAAGCCUCCAGGCAACCUGCAAGUGAACCUAGCUCACCCUCCACUGUGAUUAACAGACUCCACCACCAAGUGCUCAACUCACCUCUGUCUGACCUCCCACACUCCGCAUCGUUCUCCCCUCUGGCGGUUUCCUCCA